Molecule: transfer RNA, 76 nt
Filed under: Bacillota bacterium
Lineage: Bacteria; Bacillati; Bacillota
Description: Firmicutes bacterium tRNA-Asp
Rfam family: tRNA
About the family: Transfer RNA (tRNA) molecules are approximately 80 nucleotides in length. Their secondary structure includes four short double-helical elements and three loops (D, anti-codon, and T loops).
Source: RNAcentral
GGAGGCGUGGUGUAGUGGUUAACACACCGGCCUGUCACGCCGGAGAUCGCGGGUUCGAUCCCCGUCGCCUCCGCCG